GGACUGCUGGCGGCGGCGACGUGGCAGUGGCUCGUGGCCGCGUCCGCCUGGAGUUCCUGGAGACGCCCGCCCCGGGGCGAGCCGCGGGAGGGACCGAGCCGAGAGGGAGGGAGAAACUCAGCACCUGGCAGGGAAUGACGGAAAGAGAAGGAUGGAAUUGUUAGCAAAGCAAUAGCCCGGGUGCGUGCCCCGUGCAGCCCCAGGCCCCAGGCGCCAGCACUGCACGAAGCGAGGAAAGAGGAGGAAAAAAGCAGGAAGUAUGAAAAGGGAAUCCUGGGGAACAUAAGGCUGAAAAAAAUUGCAAAGAAUUAGGUUGAGGUGGGAGGAGAGAGAUAACAAAAUUCUUGACUGUAAAGCCCCAAAGGUCAGCCUCUCUGGUAAUAAGCAAUUCAAUUCCUUGUGUAAUAUGCUUGGCCCCUAAAAGCCCUCCGCAUCCGUUGCCUCCAUAACCCUCAGUUUAUUGUGGAGGGGUAGAGGAGGAAUGUAAGGCUCAACUAUCCGACUAUGAGCCUGGACGUAAGAAACUGCUGGCCCACCUCCUCCCAUGACCCACCUGAGACGGCUAGGAAUUCCCUAGCUUUAACAGCCGCGCGUUUGACUUACGAACGAUUCAUUCUAUGAAUUAAUGCGCCAUGUCUGACAAGAGAGACUUGAUUAGAGAGGGAUGAUGUUUCUGAGAAUUUAUUACCUGGGCAUUUGCUUUAAACAGCCUUAAAUGGUAUCUUUAGUCAAAUGUGGAGUAAUCAGAACUCUAUAAUGGCUCUAGAGUAGAGUAGUAUCAAAAACGUACAUGGCACACAGAAUUCCUGGAGUGCUGACUGCUGUUCAUGUGUCUGGUCUUAGCCUGCUGACUGCUGUUCAUGUGUCUGGUCUUAGCCGUCCUUCCAGCCCUAUACACUCCCAACAGGCUCAACAGGUAGUUCCUCAACUGGGCCAAGAUUCUCAAAUCUUUUGCACACUUUGGUUACUCUGCAUAGAAUCCCCACCACGUCUCUGUUUAGAUGCUACCUCUUCAGGAAAGCCUUUUUUAUCCCCCCUAGACAGACUUGGAGACAUGCAUUAACCUCUUACUCUUUGAGCUACUCACUGUAAAGAAAUAUUCUUUGAUAUUUUAUGAUUUUCUGUAUUUUCCCACUGGGCUGUAAGUUUCUUGAAGCUAGAACUAGAUUUUACAUACCC
RNAcentral lists this long non-coding RNA (1179 nucleotides) under Homo sapiens (human). RNAcentral's name for it is "non-protein coding lnc-ANTXR1-1:1". Lineage: Eukaryota; Metazoa; Chordata; Mammalia; Primates; Hominidae. The record is from RNAcentral.